This is a long non-coding RNA of Callithrix jacchus (white-tufted-ear marmoset), 1553 nucleotides long. RefSeq lists it as uncharacterized. NCBI's taxonomy places the organism in Eukaryota, Metazoa, Chordata, Mammalia, Primates, Cebidae. The record is from RefSeq and is a predicted model, not a curated record.
UCUCUAGGCCAGCAAAGCAUCAGAUCAUGGAAACAGGAAGCAGAAAUUUUGCUGGUGGGUCAUGAGAGGUGGUAGUGAGAGGUGCCAUUCCCAUUUCCACCUUUCACGUCUAGACUUGUGAAUCCUGUCACCUCCUCGGUGACACUGCCCCAACCCUAGAAGGUAUGGCCACCUGCCUGGCACUGUAACUGAGUCUUCAAAGGGACAUUCUGCUUUUCUAUCCAAUUGGCUUCUUCAGAAAGGUGCGGACAUGCUGCAUAGUUACCCUGAUAUAUACAGACAUGUCUCCGUUUGGGGAAGACCAGAAGCAAGAUUAACAGCACAGACUUUUUGGAGUGCCAGGAUCCUUCCUCAAGGUGACCCGUCCUCCCUUCAUCCAAGGGGUCCUGUGUGGGAAUUGAUUGAGAGACCCUGAUUCUCUGUUUUUAUGCUUCAGGAACGCUGUGAUAGACUAGCUGAUGCCACAGGUGCUCUGGAGUCAGUCUACUUGAUUGCUGCUUUGGCUCUGCCAUCCGUUAAGAGUAGCCAUGCCUACCUCGUCUUUGGUGGCUGAGUGCUGCCUCCUGGCCCCUGUCACCCAGGAUCUUAUGACUACAUGCCAGUAAUUAGAUCCUGCACUGCGCUGAGAUCCCACUGCUCUUAGCUGUCUGAACCCAGUGGCUGUCAUCGCCAACGGAAGUCCGGCCAUCAGAGAAGCAUGAACACAGAGCUCCUCACGGAUGCCAGGGCUCCCCGCCCAGACUUGCUUCUCACAGUCGUGGUGAAGAGUGUGGUUUCCGGGCUCUCCUACUGUGCGUGAGUAGCUCCUAAGGGACAAACCCAGUGUAACAUGUCCUUUACUGAAGAGUACGCAUGUGCAGAUCAGCGCAUUGCCGGCUCAAACAUAAGCUCUCACCGGUCGAGAAACUGGGCCUUGGUAAAUGCUCUAAUUCCUGUGUUCAAAAACUCCUGUGGAUUGCUGCAGAGGCAUCAUAUUACAUUAGAAUGACAUCAAUCAAAUCUUAUGAAACUCAAAUUUAGAAGAGUACACACUUACGACUAAUACUUGGGAUAAAAUUUUUAAACGAAAAUCUAAUCUCGGAUACCAGUUGAGACUUAGAUGACACUUUUGGACUACCAGCUUACCUUUCAGAAAAUCAAGCAAUGUUUUGCAUAGCAGAAAACAUUUAUCCCUCACAAGGCAGCCCCUUGGCCCAAUCAACGUCAGUGCAACGGUGCAGAGUACGUCCGUGCACAUGGCUAGCUCCCACCACAAGGGCACACAGUGGGCUAGCUGCCUCUACCUCGGGGCUCUCUCCAAAGCCAUGGUGCUGGUGUGUGUCCCAGGCACAGUCACUGCCAAUGAGGACUAGCAGCCAGUGCAUAAAUGCCCCAUCUUUAAAGGGUGGCUUUUAGGUGAUUUGUACAGGGCUUCUCAGAGGAUAAGACGCCAUUGCCCACAGCAAUAACCAGCUCCAUUAUGUUCCCUCUAUUGAUUUCCCGUUCGUUCCUGUCUUCUUCCCCUCAUUUUUCCUCCUUGGAAUCACCUCUCAAAUAAAGCACCUACACCCAGA